RNAcentral lists this ribosomal RNA (495 nucleotides) under uncultured bacterium. RNAcentral's name for it is "partial 16S ribosomal RNA". It matches the Rfam family "Bacterial small subunit ribosomal RNA", at positions 28 to 507 of the family's 1533-position model. The record is from RNAcentral.
GACGAACGCUGGCGGCGUGCCUAAUACAUGCAAGUAGAACGCUGAAGGAGGAGCUUGCUUCUCCGGAUGAGUUGCGAACGGGUGAGUAACGCGUAGGUAACCUGCCUGGUAGCGGGGUAUAACUAUUGGAAACGAUAGCUAAUACCGCAUAACAGUAGAUAUCGCAUGAUAUCUGCUUGAAAGGUGCAAUUGCAUCACUACCAGAUGGACCUGCGUUGUAUUAGCUAGUUGGUGAGGUAACGGCUCACCAAGGCGACGAUACAUAGCCGACCUGAGAGGGGGAGCGGCCACACUGGGACUGAGACACGGCCCAGACUCCUACGGGAGGCAGCAGUAGGGAAUCUUCGGCAAUGGACGGAAGUCUGACCGAGCAACGCCGCGUGAGUGAAGAAGGUUUUCGGAUCGUAAAGCUCUGUUGUAAGAGAAGAACGAGUGUGAGAGUGGAAAGUUCACACUGUGACGGUAUCUGACCAGAAAGGGACGGCUAACUACGUG